CUUCUUUCUUUCUGCUCUCUGCGGCGACUACAGACUACAGUGGUCGCGCCGGUCUCUGCUUCUUUCCUUUGUCUCCGGUUCUCCGAGGAAAGAUACUACGGUGGUCUCCUCCCAAUCUGCGACGGCGACGGCGACAGCGCCCAAGGUACUCUGCUGCUCGCCUCCUACCCCUCCUCCUCUGUUCCAUACAUUUCCUUGGAUCUGGUUAGCGCACAGCUCUCUUCCUUUCUCAAUUCUUCGUGGUUUUGAUGUUGCAGAGUUCGAUCCAUUCAACGUAUGCUCAGCUCAGCAGAGGUGGAGAGUUGCUUUUCGGUGUUGGAGACGCUCUUCUUCAGCUCGCCCUCUUCAUUGAUCCAAGCCAGGUGAUGCAUUUUUUUUUUGUGCCGUCCGUCACAAAGUUCAGCUGUGUAGGUAGAUCCAGAGCCGACUGCGUCCCCAUUACAGCUGUGUGGGUAGAUCCAGAGCAAGGGGAGGGUCAGCUCUUGCUUGAUCUGUUUCUCCCCUCCUUGUUGAUCUCUUGCUGCUAUUUUUUACUGUAUAAUUAUAUUACAGUAAAAGUGUUAAAAUAUGUACAUUAGGAAAAAGAAAAAGGAAUAAGAUAAAAUAAAGUAAAGAGAAAAAAAUGGUCAGUGGUCAGAGCUUAGUAUCUAUCCAUGUUCUGAGGGAUGCUGUACGUUUUCUUUUCACUCUGUCCAGCUUUUCCAAACAAAAUCAGAUCAUACUUUUCCAAACAAAUUAGUAUCUGAAAACAAUUAGUAUGUCUAGUUUUUCCAAACAAAAAUCAGAUCAUGCUUUUCCAAACAAAUUAGUACUGGGAGCUGUUACUUUCACGAAACACAAAUGUCCAGCUUUUGCUCAUCCGGUAGUUUUCUGAAAACAGUUAGUUUGGUUUUUGCUGAUUCUGACAUGAAUUUAUUUUAUGCAGAACUGGAUCUAUAAUCUAUUCUCCAGUAGUUCAUCUUGGGCUGCUUUUGCUUGCGGAGGACUCUGCAAAUUGGAUUUGAAGGAGCUGCUAUUCAAGGUACCCUUCUUCUGCUUCUGCUUUGGAAAGAAGCAAUGCAUAUGCGCUAUGUUUACAGUCAUUUUCACCAACCAAUCAGGUUCAGGUUUUCCUCAUUCUGUGUUUUGAAAACCAUCAUGUUUGCAUUGCAGAAUUUCAAGCCAAAGACAAUGCUAU
This 1177-nucleotide long non-coding RNA is filed under the name Triticum aestivum (bread wheat). RNAcentral describes it as "long non-coding RNA (TAES_LNC017516)". Lineage: Eukaryota; Viridiplantae; Streptophyta; Magnoliopsida; Poales; Poaceae. The record is from RNAcentral.